This 408-nucleotide ribosomal RNA is filed under the name uncultured bacterium. RNAcentral describes it as "partial 16S ribosomal RNA". It matches the Rfam family "Bacterial small subunit ribosomal RNA", at positions 28 to 526 of the family's 1533-position model. The record is from RNAcentral.
GACGAACGCUGGCGGCGUGCUUAACACAUGCAAGCCGAACGAAGUGGUGAACGGGUGAGUAAUACGUGGGUAACCAGCCUUCUUUUUUGGGAUAAGCCUUGGAAACGGGGUCUAAUACCGAAGACAGGCGGAUGGGCUGGCGGCCUAUCAGCUUGUUGGUGGGGUGAGGGCCAACCAAGGCGGGGACGGGUAGCCGGCCUGAGAGGGGGACCGGCAAAAGUGGAACAGAGAAAGGGGCCAGGAUCAUACUGGAGGCAGCAGUGGGGGAUAAUGCACAAUGGCAGAAAACCUGAUGCAGCGACGCCGCGUGGGGGAUAAAGGCUUUCGAGUUGUAAACCUCUUUCGCUAGCGAACGGGUAGGUGGAGAAGAAGCGCCGGCUAACUGCGUGCCAGCAGCCGCGGUAAUAC